RNAcentral lists this ribosomal RNA (253 nucleotides) under uncultured bacterium. RNAcentral's name for it is "partial 16S ribosomal RNA". It matches the Rfam family "Bacterial small subunit ribosomal RNA", at positions 524 to 776 of the family's 1533-position model. The record is from RNAcentral.
UACAGAGGGUGCGAGCGUUGUUCGGAAUUAUUGGGCGUAAAGGGCGCGUAGGCGGUGCGGUAAGUCACCUGUGAAAUCUCCUGGCUCAACUGGGAGUCUGCAGGCGAAACUGCCGUGCUGGAGUGUGGGAGAGGUGAGUGGAAUUCCCGGUGUAGCGGUGAAAUGCGUAGAUAUCAAGUGGAACACCAGUGGCGAAGGCGAGUCUCUGGACAUUUCCUGACGCUGAGGCACGAAAGCCAGGGGAGCAAACGGG